RNAcentral lists this non-coding RNA (31 nucleotides) under Mus musculus (house mouse). Lineage: Eukaryota; Metazoa; Chordata; Mammalia; Rodentia; Muridae. The record is from RNAcentral. RNAcentral also lists the same sequence under 1 other name.
UUGGAUUUUUGUUUUGUUUUCAGACAGGGUC